RNAcentral lists this small RNA (131 nucleotides) under Escherichia coli. Its description in RNAcentral is "RtT sRNA". It matches the Rfam family "RtT RNA". Rfam says of the family: This family represents a bacterial cis-regulatory element known as RtT RNA. Lineage: Bacteria; Pseudomonadati; Pseudomonadota; Gammaproteobacteria; Enterobacterales; Enterobacteriaceae. RNAcentral also lists the same sequence under 7 other names. The record is from RNAcentral.
AUUCUGCGCAUGCGGGGAAGGAUGAGAAGCUUCGACCAAGGUUCGACUCGAGGCCAGCGAGAGAGCGUUGCCGCAGGCAACGACCCGUAGGGCGAAGCGCGCAGCGCUGAGUAAUCCUUCCCCCACCACCA